AGCCAUCUGAAUCUGUCGGGAUUUCGUCAGACGCCAUCCCGCCAAAAUUGAUGAGACUCUCAAGAUAAGUGAAGCG
Molecule: non-coding RNA, 76 nt
Organism: Schistosoma rodhaini
Lineage: Eukaryota; Metazoa; Platyhelminthes; Trematoda; Strigeidida; Schistosomatidae
Source: Rfam